This 407-nucleotide ribosomal RNA is filed under the name uncultured bacterium. RNAcentral's name for it is "partial 16S ribosomal RNA". It matches the Rfam family "Bacterial small subunit ribosomal RNA", at positions 28 to 526 of the family's 1533-position model. The record is from RNAcentral.
GACGAACGCUGGCGGCGUGCCUAAUACAUGCAAGUAGGACGCAGUUGCGAACGGGUGAGUAACGCGUAGGUAACUACCUAUUAGAGGGGGAUAACUAUUGGCAACGAUAGCUAAUACCGCAUACUAGUAGAUGGACCUGCGUUGUAUUAGCUAGUAGGUAGAGUAAUGGCCUACCGAGGCAACGAUACAUAGCCGACCGGAGAAGGUGAUCUGCAACACUUGGACGGAGACACGGCCCAGACUCCGACGGGAGGCAGCAGUAGGGAAUCUUCGGCAAGUGGGGGAACACUGACCGAGCAACGCCGCGUGAGUGAAGAAGGUUUUCGGAUCGUAAAGCUCUGUUGUUAAGGAAGCGGUACUUAACCAGAAAGGGACGGCUAACUACGUGCCAGCAGCCGAGGUAAUAC